This 223-nucleotide long non-coding RNA is filed under the name Elaeis guineensis (African oil palm). RNAcentral describes it as "long non-coding RNA (EGUI_LNC037937)". The record is from RNAcentral. Lineage: Eukaryota; Viridiplantae; Streptophyta; Magnoliopsida; Arecales; Arecaceae.
GCCGACAAUCCAUCGAGUUUUUUUUUAAAUUCUCUUUUAGAUAUCGUAAACAAUAAUCAUGAACAGCAUCAGAAAAUGAUGUCCUCACACCCUUUGUCAAGCCUUUUGCUCUGUCUGAAAUAAAACAUAAUUGAUGAUAGUAAGGAUCUUCAUUGUUAUAAAUUGCAUCAUGUAGUUUGUCACAAAACCAAAUCUAGUUGUAAUCAUUCUCCGCACUCACAAU